Molecule: ribosomal RNA, 301 nt
Filed under: uncultured bacterium
Lineage: Bacteria
Description: partial 16S ribosomal RNA
Rfam family: Bacterial small subunit ribosomal RNA
Source: RNAcentral
CAGCAGCCGCGGUAAUACGAAGGGUGCAAGCGUUACUCGGAAUUACUGGGCGUAAAGCGUGUGUAGGUGGUUGUUUAAGUCUGUCGUGAAAGCCCUGGGCUCAACCUGGGAAUUGCGGUGGAUACUGGGCGACUAGAGUGCGGUAGAGGAUAGUGGAAUUUCCGGUGUAGCAGUGAAAUGCGUAGAGAUCGGAAGGAACAUCAGUGGCGAAGGCGACUAUCUGGGCCAACACUGACACUGAGGCACGAAAGCGUGGGGAGCAAACAGGAUUAGAUACCCCCGUAGUCCCUGUCUCUUAUAC